This is a non-coding RNA of Aegilops tauschii subsp. strangulata, 3574 nucleotides long. NCBI's taxonomy places the organism in Eukaryota, Viridiplantae, Streptophyta, Magnoliopsida, Poales, Poaceae. The record is from RefSeq and is a predicted model, not a curated record.
AGGAGGAACGCCGUUCCUCUCGAUCCCCUCCCGUCGCCGCCGCCGUCCUCUCGAUCCCCUCCCGUCGCCGCCACCAUCCUCUCGAUCCCCUCGAGUAAGCGGCGCCGCCGUUGGCUCCCGAUCUCCUCGAUUAAACGCCGCCGCCGUCGUCUCUCGAUGCCCUCAAGAUCGCUGCGCCGCCAUCGUCUCUCCAUCCCCUCGAGAUCCCAGAUCCCACACCGCCACCGCCGUCGCCUCCUCCGCUGGCGACGCGGCGAACGAGAGACAAGGGGAACGAUGGUCUCCACCGCGGCGGAGGAGGGCGAGGACCCGCGCUGGAGGAGGAACAACAUGGUUCAUGAUGCUUGUUUGCGCUAUGGAGAAUCGGAGCUAUGGUGUCUCCCCCAUCCCUCGUUGCGUCAUGGCCAGCUCCCUCCAUAGCACCACAUCGGCUUAUAAUCACGUCGCGCUAGGUAUGGGCCCACGGGAGCCAGCGCUCGGCGGCCCCAGGUCCGGUGUUCCUCGUUGCCGCCGUCGGCUCCGCCACCUACCUCGACGACGGGAUCCAGAGCCUCCGCAUCCUCCUCCUUCUGUUGGGCGAUGACAAGGAUCCGAUGUUGUGUGCUGCUCCAUCUACACGCCUUCUUUCUCAUAGGAAUCUGUAUCGCAGGUUAGUCCUCGAUCUUCCAUGUGGCUUACUGAAUUUGAAGUAGUGAUUGAACUAUGAUCUGAGGCAAAUUUGUGGAGAGAUUCAGUAGUUGAAGCAUCCCGAUUGAUAACAUACACGUUAGUACUCUGAACCUCCAAAUUCCCUGCUCUGUUCUUCCAGAAGAUACAUUAUUAGAUCCUUUUUUCCUGAGACGAGUCUACAUUUUUAUAUGCUAACAUUGCUGUUCAUGAGAACGCAACAACACCAUCAAUUUUAACACAUAUUUUGAGUUUUACUGAUUUGUCUGCAAGUAGAAUUUGUGGAUUAUCAAUUCAAGAAAUGGGGGCACUGUUUGGGCAAGCCACUAUUGAGAUGUUUCCGCAAAUGACAUGAUACACCAUCAUACUUUCUAUUUUCUGCAUUAGUUUUAGUUUAUUGCGAUAUUUAAGUAAAUGUGAUCCCUUUUAAUUAGCCCAAGUUUUUUUAUAAAUGGUAGUACGGUAUUUCUUCUGAUAGAAUAUAUUAAACAAUCCAAGUUUUGUUCUUGGAACUAUACAAGUGCAUCUCCUAUUUUAUUGUAAUAGCAUGAUGCACUUAAUUUUCUUAUGAGUGAUAAUUCUAUGUGAUUAUAUGAUUAUUGGAGCUCACAUUUUUUAAGCGAUGCAUCAUGUGUUAUUGAUUUUAAUUUGUCAUAGACAAUAGUAAAAGGGAAAAUCUGGUUGAAAAGUAUGUGGUGUACAGUUUAUAAAAACUUUCCGGGCUCAUAAAAAUGAAAUAUGAUUUAGUGUUACUAGAAGAGAGAUCUUGAUUCGUGGCUUUGAUUUAGUUUGAGUUAUUUAUUUUAAGUUUUAUGCUUCAUAAAUCAGUAUGCUGAUGCUUGGUACUAUAAUCAUGUGACCUACGAGAUCAAGGCCUGGAUACACAAGAGGCAGUACCAAGCAGCUACUACUCUCCGGCGACAGCAACAACAAGGCAUGUUGCCUUCUAUUCUUUUUGGAACCUAGCUAUUCGUGUGCUUUUCCUAUCACCGUGAAUCAAAUAAUAGUUGUCAAAGCUCUUGGCUUAAGACAUUCAAAUUUAUACAAAUAUUUUCUUGAAUAGCUGCUCGAAUAUUUUUCUUUUGCAAGGAUCAAGUACAUCUAUGUUUCAUUACUCACAUCUCAAAAUAAUGUUCUGUAAUCAGGAUGCAUGAUUGGCAUGGACCAUGGAGUAUGGAUCAUCUUGCCAUGUUGUGUUCUUCUUGUGUUUAAGAUUGUGCUUUUGCAGAUGAAGUUGUUGAUCCUGCUGAGGCGCGCCGCUGUCAUCGGGAUAUUUGUGAGGGGAAGCGCCCUUUUCGAGAGAUUCCAGAGAAGAAAUAUGUUUUGGGCACGCCGCCUCCUGGUCUGAGUGGUGUUUCAGCUGGUGCUCUGCUGGGGGUCUCUUUGCUGCGGCCCCUCUCUUUGCUGGUGCAUUGGCUGCUGUGCUAGAUAUUUCGUCUUUGGGCUCUUCUUGCUUGGUGGAUAUUCAUAUGUACGGAGAUGCUGGCUGCCCAUCUAUUUUGCAAAGGACAAUUUCUUCCAGUUCUAAUGUGCGCACGAGUGGGGGGCGUCAGGGUUCGUUGUCAGCUAGCUGUCUGAAUCUUCGUGCUUCGGAUUUGUCUCAUGAUCUGCUGCACGUACGACACGUACGACAAGGGGACAACAGAAUUCUACUGAAUUGUGGCGGCGCCAUCGAGAGAUUCAUGAAUGAAAUGUCCUGUGUUGGGUUCUUCAGAUUAUGCCUGAACCAGCAGGAGCCUCCGAAGCAGCAAGAGAGUAAUGGAUGGGGAAACUGGCAGAUCCGUUUGUGUGGACGACAGCUCGAUGGUGGCAACUCGGCUAGGUUUGCCGUGAGAAGGCCAGACUACGCGAGAGAUUUGGCGUGUGUAGUUUAUGUUGUUGGUAAUUACGGUGGAGUGUGGUUAGAUUAUCAGCUUUUUUAGAUGCAUAGGGCAUCGAAGGAGCGGUGGAUAUGAGCUCCUACGGCAAAACUACUGCGCCUUGAGCAACGUCAGAGGAGCCGGCCCCGCUGAGAAUACAUUUUAUUUUCUCUAGCCGAUUAAUUCCAAUAAUUAAUGAGGGCUAAUGCACCCCGGGAGCAGCUGCCAAGAUGGAAGUUUGUAGCAAAUAGGACGCCUUCCAUCAAAGGGAAACUACGGCCAACUCCGCUCUGGUUGGCCGGCGAUGCAUGACGAGGCCAAUGGACAGCUCGGUGCUACACAAAUGAAUCAAGGAGAACAUAUUAACAGACCAGCAACGUGCUAGGAGGCCAACAGGAGCAUUACCUGGUGUUGACCGGCGGGCAAAUGACAUCAUAUAUGUUUUUGUCCAACCAAGGUAACCCUCCAAACAGUGCCCUGAUAGUCAUAUAUUCCUUAAUGUUUUGGCCUGGAAACAAGUUUAGUUGCAACUCUUUUGCUAUCAUGUUUUCCAAAUUUCGUUCACUAGGGUUCCUUUCUUAUUAUCAUCUUCCGGAUAUAUAUUAGGGCAAACGGAUAUAUAUUUGCUUCUUUUAUUAGCAUUCCGACAACACUCCAGCAUAGACUCGUCGUGAUACCUGGACGUGGGCUGGUAAACGGAGGUAACAGGGAGCCUCAACAUCAGGACAUCAAGAAGGAAGCUGAUGAUGAUGAUGAGUACGACCAUCUUGGCAUGGAUUGCUGCGGCUGCCAUGCCCAUGUCCAGCAACAUGUUGUCGUGCCAGUGCUGCAACCUUCUACUCCAAACACGGUCGCAAGCAAUGUGAUCAUGAAGUUCUGGGAUACUUAACAUUCCCUAUAUUUUUCUAGCAAUGUCUUAGUUAAGACGUAGAUGCAAGGGCUCAUAUAAAUCUCAAUGAAUUUAUAUUAGUUACCAUGAUAAUUUGAUUGUAUAUAUGAGCAUAUCCGAAUCAUUUUAGGCUUAUAAUGGCAUUUCCUUUAAUGAUUUA